GACGAAACGUGCGAACGUUGUUCGGAAUCACUGGGCUUAAAGGGUGCGUAGGCGGGUUGUCCAGUCUGGGGUGAAAUCCCACUGCUCAACCGUGGAAUUGCCUCAGAUACUGACGACCUCGAGGGAGGGAGGGGCGAGCGGAACUGUGGGUGGAGCGGUGAAAUGCGUUGAUAUCCACAGGAACUCCGGUGGCGAAGGCGGCUCGCUGGACCUCUUCUGACGCUGAGGCACGAAAGCUAGGGGAGCAAACGGG
RNAcentral lists this ribosomal RNA (253 nucleotides) under uncultured bacterium. Its description in RNAcentral is "partial 16S ribosomal RNA". It matches the Rfam family "Bacterial small subunit ribosomal RNA", at positions 524 to 776 of the family's 1533-position model. The record is from RNAcentral.